ACUCCUACGGGAGGCAGCAGUAAGGAAUAUUGCGCAAUGGGCGAAAGCCUGACGCAGCGACGCCGCGUGGGGGAUGAAGGUCUUCGGAUUGUAAACCCCUUUCGGGAGGGAAGAUGGAGCGAGCAAUCGUUCGGACGGUACCUCCAGAAGCAGCCACGGCCAACUUCGUGCCAGCGCCGCGGUAA
RNAcentral lists this ribosomal RNA (185 nucleotides) under uncultured Nitrospira sp. RNAcentral describes it as "partial 16S ribosomal RNA". It matches the Rfam family "Bacterial small subunit ribosomal RNA", at positions 335 to 523 of the family's 1533-position model. Lineage: Bacteria; Pseudomonadati; Nitrospirota; Nitrospiria; Nitrospirales; Nitrospiraceae. The record is from RNAcentral.